GUUCUUCAACUUUUGAAACCGUCACGGCGGAAUCGGCGCACGGCUCUCCAACUCCAAUCCCCGGUACGCCAUCCGGAGUAGAUUCUGUGCGUAUCGUCUUCUUGCCGGACGCCGGUUCUUCUUGCUCUUCUCUUCUGAGCGAGUGUUCUUGUCGUUCGGGCCAGCAGCUUCCCGUUGAUUUGGUACUAUGCGUACAUCUCCUCUCUGCUUCUCAAUUCUCAUGCUUCUCAUGUUUUCCUUUUUUCAAAAGGAGGAUUACCUCCGGUCUCAUGCAUACGGCCCCACAUACUCCUUUCUCAUGUGAGAACUGAGAACAAGUUCGAUUCUUUUAUCGCCUAAAUAAAAUAUUUCAAUUCUUUUAGGUCUUAGUAGUAGUAGGUUAUUGUACCAGAUUGUACGGUUGUGGUACCGUGUUUAGGCCAGUAGCAUAUCGAGAUCAUCUCUGGCGUUUGGUGGGUGCGGCCAGAUUUGGGUCUAAGUUUUGACUUUUGGAUGCUUAUGGUGCACGCUUCUUCGGUUUGUUUGCGGUUUGUAUUGUACUACUACUACUGGUUCAUGCAAACUAGUGGUUGGGGC
Molecule: long non-coding RNA, 576 nt
Filed under: Hordeum vulgare
Lineage: Eukaryota; Viridiplantae; Streptophyta; Magnoliopsida; Poales; Poaceae
Description: long non-coding RNA (HVUL_LNC018972)
Source: RNAcentral